AGGAUAGAAAUGAAGAAACAAAGCAAACGAAACAGAGAGCAGGGGAAGGAAAGAAAGAAAAAGAGAAAAGAAAGAAGAAAAGGGAAAAUUGAAAGUGUGAAGCUUGAAAGUUUAAUAGGUUAAUAGAAGUCUAUUGUCCCUGUCCAGCAUCCAAACGAUCCUGACUCUAGCAAAAAGAUUUUUGGUGAUUAUUUUUUUUCCUUAAUUGGAAGUGGCAUGUACUAGGUGUUGUAUAGGUUACAUUGAUAUGCUUGUAAUGUUGGUUGUAAGAAUGGUAUACCAUAUUUUGUUAUUAUUAUGAUAAAAUGGUAAAGAUUAUAUUAUAUAAUUUGGUAUUAAGUUAGAAUGAAAAAUGAAUGAAGUUAGUAGUUAAUUUUGAUUAA
Gossypium arboreum is the source of this 383-nucleotide long non-coding RNA. RefSeq lists it as uncharacterized. The record is from RefSeq and is a predicted model, not a curated record. Lineage: Eukaryota; Viridiplantae; Streptophyta; Magnoliopsida; Malvales; Malvaceae. The transcript is spliced from 2 exons.